RNAcentral lists this ribosomal RNA (254 nucleotides) under uncultured bacterium. RNAcentral describes it as "partial 16S ribosomal RNA". It matches the Rfam family "Bacterial small subunit ribosomal RNA", at positions 524 to 776 of the family's 1533-position model. The record is from RNAcentral.
UACGUAGGGGGCAAGCGUUGUCCGGAUUUAUUGGGCGUAAAGAGCUCGUAGGCGGUUUGGUAAGUCUGGUGCGAAAUCUCCACGCUCAACGUGGAGGGGCCACCCGAUACUGCCAUGACUGGAGUCCGGUAGAGGAGUGUGGAAUUCCCGGUGUAGCGGUGAAAUGCGCAGAUAUCGGGAGGAACACCCGUAGCGAAGGCGGCACUCUGGGCCGGUACUGACGCUGAGGAGCGAAAGCGUGGGGAGCAAACAGG